RNAcentral lists this ribosomal RNA (457 nucleotides) under uncultured bacterium. Its description in RNAcentral is "bacterial SSU rRNA". It matches the Rfam family "Bacterial small subunit ribosomal RNA", at positions 340 to 786 of the family's 1533-position model. The record is from RNAcentral.
UACGGAAGGCAGCAGUGGGGAAUAUUGCACAAUGGGCGCAAGCCUGAUGCAGCCAUGCCGCGUGUAUGAAGAAGGCCUUCGGGUUGUAAAGUACUUUCAGCGGGGAGGAAGGCGGUGAAGUUAAUAGCUUCACCGAUUGACGUUACCCGCAGAAGAAGCACCGGCUAACUCCGUGCCAGCAGCCGCGGUAAUACGGAGGGUGCAAGCGUUAAUCGGAAUUACUGGGCGUAAAGCGCACGCAGGCGGUCUGUCAAGUCGGAUGUGAAAUCCCCCGGGCUUAACCUGGGAACUGCAUUCGAAACUGGCAGGCUAGAGUCUUGUAGAGGGGGUAGAAUUCCAGGUGUAGCGGUGAAAUGCGUAGAGAUCUGGAGGAAUACCGGUGGCGAAGGCGGCCCCUGGGACAAAGACUGACGCUCAGGGUGCGAAAGCGUGGGGAGCGAAACAGGAUUAGGAUACC